AUUGCAAUUAACCUUAAUCCCUAUUAGGGAUUGAAAC
Molecule: non-coding RNA, 37 nt
Organism: Nostoc sp. PCC 7524
Lineage: Bacteria; Bacillati; Cyanobacteriota; Cyanophyceae; Nostocales; Nostocaceae
Source: Rfam